GAUGAACGCUGGCGGCGUGCUUAACACAUGCAAGUCGAGCGAAGCACAGAAACGGAUUUCUUCGGAUUGAAGGUUCUGUGACUGAGCGGCGGACGGGUGAGUAACGCGUGGGGAACCUGCCCUGUACCGGGGGAUAACAGACAGAAAUGUCUGCUAAUACCGCAUAAGCGCACGAGAAGGCAUCUUUUUGUGUGAAAAACUCCGGUGGUACAGGAUGGACCCGCGUUGGAUUAGCCAGUUGGCGGGGUAACGGCCCACCAAAGCGACGAUCCAUAGCCGGCCUGAGAGGGCGACCGGCCACAUUGGGACUGAGACACGGCCCAG
This 324-nucleotide ribosomal RNA is filed under the name uncultured bacterium. Its description in RNAcentral is "bacterial SSU rRNA". It matches the Rfam family "Bacterial small subunit ribosomal RNA", at positions 28 to 334 of the family's 1533-position model. The record is from RNAcentral.